This 393-nucleotide ribosomal RNA is filed under the name uncultured bacterium. RNAcentral describes it as "partial 16S ribosomal RNA". It matches the Rfam family "Bacterial small subunit ribosomal RNA", at positions 523 to 918 of the family's 1533-position model. The record is from RNAcentral.
AUACGGAGGAUGCGAGCGUUAUCCGGAUUUAUUGGGUUUAAAGGGAGCGUAGGUGGGAUAUUAAGUCAGUUGUGAAAGUUUGCGGCUCAACCGUAAAAUUGCAGUUGAUACUGGGUGUCUUGAGUACAGUAGAGGCAGGCGGAAUUCGUGGUGUAGCGGGGGAAUGCUUAGAUAUCACGAAGAACUCCGAUUGCGAAGGCAGCCUGCUGGACUGUAACUGACGCUGAUGCUCGAAAGUGUGGGUAUCAAACAGGAUUAGAUACCCUGGUAGUCCACACAGUAAACGAUGAAUACUCGCUGUUUGCGAUAUACAGUAAGCGGCCAAGCGAAAGCGUUAAGUAUUCCACCUGGGGAGUACGCCGGCAACGGUGAAACUCAAAUGAAUUGGCGGGG